Long non-coding RNA from Oncorhynchus gorbuscha (pink salmon), 2512 nucleotides. RefSeq lists it as uncharacterized. The transcript has 2 exons. The record is from RefSeq and is a predicted model, not a curated record. Lineage: Eukaryota; Metazoa; Chordata; Actinopteri; Salmoniformes; Salmonidae.
GGAAUCAUGCCCGAAACAUGACCCACCUAACCGCGCUCCUUAACACACGCCACGUUAACCCGGAAACCAGCCGCACCAAUGUGUCGGAUGAAACACAUUCCCUUAUGCACAUUCCAUGAUCGAACGUUAUAAACACACUUCUUACCGGCAAAAAAAAAAGUUAUCGACGAUAUAACGUUACUACCACUAUGUCGCAGUUUUUUACUAGGUGUCUUCAGGACUUGCCUUAAAUUAAUAUUAAUAAUAUACAUCAAAUUGUUAAAUCAGCCUCCGAGACACCAGCUAACAAGAAUGAAAAGGGGUUCAAUAUGUAUACCUUUAUAGGAAGCUAACGUUACAUAGACAACUAUGAAGUAUCUUACAAAGAUACAUUGACCGGAGAGAUCACCGUGAGGGCUGCCUGUCACAGGUCCAUGAGGAAGAGCGAAAAGCCGCACAGCAUGAGAGUAGGGAAAGGUUUUAGAUAGCUAGGGACCUUGUUAAACAUCUCCUGUGAGACACUGUCAUCAUGGUCAAAAUGUGUUGGAGACAGUGUCAAGGUUUAAUCUUAUCAAUAGAUAGAUAUUAAUGAUGGGUCCCAAUCCCAAUUUAUCUGUUGCUGCAGUGUUUGGUAAUUGUGUUACUGAGACCAUGUAUUCCUGUAUAGAUAAAUGAGCCCCUAGUUAAGAAGACAAGACACUACUUUGUUUAUUAUUAUUCAUGGGCCGCAUCAUUCUUGUUUCUCACUUCAGUCUUUCAUCACACUUAUCUUCACAGAUGGUGUUAAAGCACUCCGUACCAGUGAUAGUUGUCCAGAGCCUCUGCUCCUGUAUUGCAGGAAGUGCUAUGUGCAAUCAUCUGGUGGCCCUUCUUUACCAGACUCGAACUAAACAUUCCUGCUGCACCACCAGUUCACAGCUGCACAGACACAGAAUAGUGUUGGCACAAGCCAAGAACACUUGUGAGUCUAUCAAUAUCCAUUAAAAAAUGCACCUGAAAAGUAUUCAGCCUAUGUAACAGUAAAUCCUUGUUAAUUAGGGUGUGAAGACAGUUCCGGUUGAUGGGAUAGAGUUCUGUAAAACCUAUAAACUCGUGUGCUGAUGGAAUAAGAUAAGUUGGAGGUUCCUAGAAUGGAAACAUUUUAGAAAACAUUUUCCCGUGAUUGUUUUUGUAUCCAGAUGAUGAGCCUAAACAGUGGCGUCUUUACGAUGUAAUGACACAUUUUGGGACAAAGACUGAAGGGAAAUAUAUAAUCUAUAAAUCUGUAUUUGAAUUAUAAUUAAUUUUAUUUGAACUUUCGGGCUUGUGCUGUUUCUGGAAAAGUUACAUGAGUCCUUUGUCAUAGUAAUCUCGCCAACCUGGUGUUAAGGUUUUAAAAUGUUUUGCAGAAGUUCUCUCUACAUAGCACUCAAUGGAUACAUGCCUGACAUGGACCUUCGCGUCUCAGAAACGUAUGCCAAAUUUUCUCUACUUCCCCUCUUGUGACAACAAUGGAAAUGUCAGCUGCCCCUGGUUGAAUUUGCCUGUCCUAUCAGCUUCCACAGCCAAAGACCAUGGAAUUGUGAAGAUUACCGAUGCCCCAUCUCCACCAAUACUUCCAUUAGAUGGCUACAGGCUUCAGUCUUCCCAGUGUGCUUACGUCCUUAGCCAUCGGGAGCAGUUCCACGUCAAGGCAUUAGAGACAACCUACGAGAUGUCACAGAGAGUCGAGGUUGCAGCCUGGAAUGGCAUCAGCUCAGGAAAAUUAGAAUAACAUCCUCUCGUUUUCGAGAGGUUUGCCAUGUCCGGGGAGAGACCUCGGCUAACCACCCAGCUGAGCGAAUGUUCAAGGGAUCUGGUAUGCAGACCAUGGAGAUGAAGAGGGGGCUAGCCAUGGAGCCAGUGGAUAUACAGGGAUCUGGUAUGCAGACCAUGGAGAUGAAGAGGGGGCAAGCCGUGGAGCCAGUGGCUGUACAGGAGUACUGCACACUGAAGAAUGUUAACUUAUUUCCAUGUGGCUUCAGUGCACCCAGAUGCUCCGUGGUUAUGAUCCUCUCCAGAUGGCAUCAUAUUUGAUCCCAGGGUGAGACCACACUUUGGACUCUUAGAGGUCAAGUGCCCAAAUGUACCAAGUUAUGUUGAGUGCCCUUACCUGAAGUUACAGAAUGGAGAGCUGAAGUUGAAGAGAUCUCAUGCUUACUACUAGGUGCAAGGUCCAAUCCUUCUCACAGGUUGUAGCUGGUGUGACUGUCCUCCUGUGCACAGAUGACAACCUAGUUGAAAGGAUAUAUAAAGAUCUUACAGGUUUCAAAAACUAUAAGAGAGAAGGUUGACCACUUAUUUUUUUCACUACUUGCAGAAGUGUCUCUCGCACCUGAAUGGAUCCCAUGCAUGGGUGCCAAGUUUAGUGGUUUCACAAAAAAUAAGUAUUGAUGUUCUUGUGAAGAAAACUAGUAGAAUAGAUUUGUUGAAAAAAAAAUAUUUCAGCAAAUGUUCAACAGUUCAGUUAAUCAAUUACACAUCUCCAACAUUGUAUUAAAUCUUGCAUUCUGGC